Molecule: ribosomal RNA, 819 nt
Filed under: uncultured bacterium
Lineage: Bacteria
Description: bacterial SSU rRNA
Rfam family: Bacterial small subunit ribosomal RNA
Source: RNAcentral
UCGAGCGGUAGAGAGAAGCUUGCUUCUCUUGAGAGCGGCGGACAGGUGAGUAAUGCCUAGGAAUCCGCCUAGUGGUGGGGGAUAACGUUCGGAAACGGACGCUAAUACCGCAUACGUCCUACGGGAGAAAGCGGGGGAUCUUCGGACCUCGCGCCAUUAGAUGAGCCUAGGUCGGAUUAGCUAGUUGGUGAGGUAAUGGCUCACCAAGGCGACGAUCCGUAACUGGUCUGAGAGGAUGAUCAGUCACACUGGAACUGAGACACGGUCCAGACUCCUACGGGAGGCAGCAGUGGGGAAUAUUGGACAAUGGGCGAAAGCCUGAUCCAGCCAUGCCGCGUGUGUGAAGAAGGUCUUCGGAUUGUAAAGCACUUUAAGUUGGGAGGAAGGGCAGUAACCUAAUACGUUAUUGUUUUGACGUUACCGACAGAAUAAGCACCGGCUAACUUCGUGCCAGCAGCCGCGGUAAUACGAAGGGUGCAAGCGUUAAUCGGAAUUACUGGGCGUAAAGCGCGCGUAGGUGGUUCAGUAAGUUGGAAGUGAAAUCCCCGGGCUCAACCUGGGAACUGCUUUCAAAACUGCUGAGCUAGAGUACGGUAGAGGGUGGUGGAAUUUCCUGUGUAGCGGUGAAAUGCGUAGAUAUAGGAAGGAACACCAGUGGCGAAGGCGACCACCUGGACUGAUACUGACACUGAGGUGCGAAAGCGUGGGGGGCAAACAGGAUUAGAUACCCUGGUAGUCCACGCCGUAAACGAUGUCAACUAGCCGUUGGGAGUCUUGAACUCUUAGUGGCGCAGCUAACGCAUUAAGUUGACCGCCUGG